Mastomys coucha (southern multimammate mouse) is the source of this 106-nucleotide small nuclear RNA. The record is from RefSeq and is a predicted model, not a curated record. Lineage: Eukaryota; Metazoa; Chordata; Mammalia; Rodentia; Muridae.
GUGCUCGCUUAGGCAGAACAUAUACUAAGACUAGAGUGAUUCAGAGAAAUUAGCAUGGCCCCUGCGUAAGGAUGACACGCAAAUUCGUGAAGCAUUCCAUGUUUAA